GUAGGUGAACCUGCGGAAGGAUCAUUAUCAUUUUGAUUCUUUAUCCUAAACAAACCGUGAACUGUUUUCUUUGUCUUGUUCUUCAUUGAGCGAGCAAAGAGCCUUGAGUGCUCAAUUGGAUUAGAGUUAGGGAUUCAUUUCUCUUGUUCUUUUCUUUCUGAGUGCUUUUUACCAAUCGAACCCCAAAGAGCCAACUUAAGUCUCUAUUAUUGAUUAACUUCUCUAGCUGAGAUUUAUAUAGGCCACUUUU
Molecule: unclassified non-coding RNA, 250 nt
Filed under: plant metagenome
Description: partial contains small subunit ribosomal RNA, internal transcribed spacer 1, and 5.8S ribosomal RNA
Source: RNAcentral